This 429-nucleotide ribosomal RNA is filed under the name Gemmatimonadota bacterium. Its description in RNAcentral is "Gemmatimonadetes bacterium partial 16S ribosomal RNA". It matches the Rfam family "Bacterial small subunit ribosomal RNA", at positions 355 to 776 of the family's 1533-position model. Lineage: Bacteria; Pseudomonadati; Gemmatimonadota. The record is from RNAcentral.
UAGGGAAUCUUCGGCAAUGGACGAAAGUCUGACCGAGCAACGCCGCGUGAGUGAAGAAGGUUUUCGGAUCGUAAAACUCUGUUGUUAGAGAAGAACAAGGACGUUAGUAACUGAACGUCCCCUGACGGUAUCUAACCAGAAAGCCACGGCUAACUACGUGCCAGCAGCCGCGGUAAUACGUAGGUGGCAAGCGUUGUCCGGAUUUAUUGGGCGUAAAGCGAGCGCAGGCGGUUUCUUAAGUCUGAUGUGAAAGCCCCCGGCUCAACCGGGGAGGGUCAUUGGAAACUGGGAGACUUGAGUGCAGAAGAGGGGAGUGGAAUUCCAUGUGUAGCGGUGAAAUGCGUAGAUAUAUGGAGGAACACCAGUGGCGAAGGCGGCUCUCUGGUCUGUAACUGACGCUGAGGUUCGAAAGCGUGGGGAGCAAACAGG